CUAUCAAGUGGAUUCCAAGAAUGUGGUCAUCCUGACCCAGCUCAUUCAAAUUCAUUUGUCUCGUGAUAAGAAUUAUAGACAGAAUACACCAGGUGUACAGAAGAAGACAAAUAGUUCAGAUGUCUAUGUGGAACCACUAAGGUGGCAUUGCUUGAUGCCUCAGACAAGAAUCUAAACUUGGUGGUUGCUAGUGCAACCUGGCCUAGCAGAUCCUGUGCUGUGUUGGAGGAAGAACUCUGGCAACCGCCUGCUUGGAUAUUUCUGCCCUUGUGUGCAGCCAGAUUUACAGCACCACAAACAUGAGGAAAUGAUAUCCAAAAAGGAACUUCACAGAAAUACCAUGCUGAUAAGUGAAUAGCAAUUUUUUGUAAAGAGCAGUUGACUUUGCAGACUGACCACAAAUGGAUUUUGGGUAAAAGCUGGGGGUUUUCCAUCAAAAAGCUGAAAAACGGCAGAGAAACAGAGGAUGUCUUAUUAUCUCUGGUUGAGGGCCAAGUCACCAAGCCAUCUUGGUCAAUCCUCCUCCUCCUUUGGUGCUCACACGCAGUGCUCAAGACUGUCUGCAGCCCCCUAGCCAAGCCUGGCUUUCCACCAUCUGCACCACACAACCUUUUCUUUGUGCCUGCUGCUGCUGUUCAGGGUGCUGCCAGUUCAAAUGGCAAACAUGGAUACAAAGCAUUACCAAAAGCAAAGCCUCGUGUGGAGGGGACAGUGUGCAUCUGGACCUGGUCCAAGGAGGGCCUUGGAAAAAUUAGAAUAUACUACAGCUAUACCUUUCAAAUCAAGAGUCAAGUUCUCCUGUGCAUGAACUCAGGCAAACAGUAGAAAGCGGCCUACAUGACAAGAAGUAUCAGAAGAAAUAAGAUGUAACAAAACAGAAAAAUCACCAGCGGAUUAAGACCAAGAAAAUGGUACGGGCCUUUGCUUCAAGAGAAGGGCUAUGACCUGGUGGUGUGAAAUUACUGUUUCGAAAUCUUUCCCUUCAUAUUUGACAUUUGCUUUACACCUGCCCAGGAGCUCUGACCCAUCUCUCAUGAACAAACUCUAAGCAUAAGAGAGCACAAGUGAAGGAUAUGAAGAAUGAAGAGGGAAAGCACCAACUGAUGGGAAAAGUCCUCUCUUUAAUGAACCAUAAGCCUUCCAGCCUGAGGAGUUGUCUAUGGCUCACAGUGGAACGGGAGUGCUGGGGUGGAUGAGAGGGCUUGGAGUGGUGCACCUUCCCUGACCUGGUCAUAUAUGCUCCUUGUGACCUUUGAUUAAAUACUAGUUGUUUCUCUCUGAAAAUCAUUUGCUUUCCACCUACUGUGUCAGUCCUCAGAAAAGCUUGCCUUGGAAAAAAAAGGCCUGGUCAUCAGCCU
This is a non-coding RNA of Zonotrichia albicollis (white-throated sparrow), 1358 nucleotides long. NCBI's taxonomy places the organism in Eukaryota, Metazoa, Chordata, Aves, Passeriformes, Passerellidae. The record is from RefSeq and is a predicted model, not a curated record.